GUUCAGAUGUGAUAGCGAGUGGGGUUAGGAUAAUGUUAGGUUCAGAUGUGUUAGCGAGAGGGGUUAGGAUAAUGUUAGGUUCAGAUGUGUUAGCGAGAGGGGUUAGGAUAAUGUUAGGUUCAGAUGUGUUAGCGAGAGGGGUUAGGGUAAGGUUAGGUUCAGACGUGUUAGCAAGUGGUGUUAGGGUAAGGUUAAGUUCAGAUGUGUUAGCGAGUGAGGUUAGGGUAAGGUUAGGUUCAGAUAUGCUAGUGAGUGGUUAGGGUAUGGUUAGGUUCAGAUAUGCUAGCGAGUGGUUAGGGUAAGGUUAGGUUCAGAUGUGUUAGCGAGAGGGGUUCGUGUAAUGUUAAGUUCAGAUGUAAUAGCGAGAGGGGUUAGGGUAAGGUUAAGUUCAGAUGUGUUAGCGAGAGUGGUUAGGGUAAGGUUAAGUUCAGAUGUGUUAGCGAGAGGGGUUAGGGUAAGGUUAAGUUCAGAUAUGAUAGCGAGAGGGGUUAGGGUAAGGUUAAGUUCAGAUAUGAUAGCGAGAGGGGUUAGGGUAAGGUUAAGUUCAGAUAUGAUAGCGAGAGGGGUUAGGGUAAG
This is a long non-coding RNA of Oncorhynchus tshawytscha (Chinook salmon), 576 nucleotides long. Lineage: Eukaryota; Metazoa; Chordata; Actinopteri; Salmoniformes; Salmonidae. The record is from Ensembl.